GAACGCUGGCGGCAGGCCUAACACAUGCAAGUCGAACGGACCCUUCGGGGUUAGUGGCGGACGGGUGAGUAACACGUGGGAACGUGCCCUUUGGUUCGGAACAACACAGGGAAACUUGUGCUAAUACCGGAUAAGCCCUUCGGGGGAAAGAUUUAUUGCCAUUGGAGCGGCCCGCGUUGGAUUAGGUAGUUGGUGAGGUAAAGGCUCACCAAGCCUACGAUCCAUAGCUGGUCUGAGAGGAUGAUCAGCCACAUUGGGACUGAGACACGGCCCAAACUCCUACGGGAGGCAGCAGUGGGGAAUCUUGCGCAAUGGGCGAAAGCCUGACGCAGCCAUGCCGCGUGAAUGAUGAAGGUCUUAGGAUUGUAAAAUUCUUUCAGCGGGGACGAUAAUGACGGUACCCGCAGAAGAAGCCCCGGCUAACUUCGUGCCAGCAGCCGCGGUAAUACGAAGGGGGCUAGCGUUGCUCGGAAUUACUGGGCGUAAAGGGAGCGUAGGCGGAUAGUUUAGUCAGAGGUGAAAGCCCAGGGCUCAACCUUGGAAAUGCCUUUGAUACUGGCUAUCUUGAGUAUGGGAGAGGUAAGCGGAAUUCCGAGUGUAGAGGUGAAAUUCGUAGAUAUUCGGAAGAACACCAGUGGCGAAGGCGGCUUACUGGCCCAUUACUGACGCUGAGGCUCGAAAGCGUGGGGAGCAAACAGGAUUAGAUACCCUGGUAGUCCACGCUGUAAACGAUGAGUGCUAGUUGUCGGCAUGCAUGCAUGUCGGUGACGCAGCUAACGCCUUAAGCACUCCGCCUGGGGAGUACGGUCGCAAGAUUAAAACUCAAAUGAAU
This 832-nucleotide ribosomal RNA is filed under the name uncultured Caulobacter sp. RNAcentral describes it as "bacterial SSU rRNA". It matches the Rfam family "Bacterial small subunit ribosomal RNA", at positions 31 to 910 of the family's 1533-position model. Lineage: Bacteria; Pseudomonadati; Pseudomonadota; Alphaproteobacteria; Caulobacterales; Caulobacteraceae. The record is from RNAcentral.